AAGUCGUAACAAGGUUUCCGUAGGUGAACCUGCGGAAGGAUCAUUAUCGUGUUUUUUUUCCUCUUCGCGGAGGAAAAACAAACGUAUUCACCCAAUCGUGAACUUGUUCUUUUGGGGUUUGGGAAGAGUUUACUCUUUUCCAGGCUUCAAAAUUAAUAUUUACAUUUAACUUUAUUCACCACUUGUAUUCAAUGUGCUAAACUAAAAUCUUGGAGGAAGCUCUUUCGAGAGUGUUCUGAAAAGAAAGUACGAAAUUGCUGAACAACUCUUAGCAACGGAUAUCUUGGUUCUC
RNAcentral lists this unclassified non-coding RNA (292 nucleotides) under fungal sp. Its description in RNAcentral is "partial internal transcribed spacer region". The stretch from base 1 to 46 matches the Rfam family "Eukaryotic small subunit ribosomal RNA", at positions 1786 to 1831 of the family's 1831-position model. Lineage: Eukaryota; Fungi. The record is from RNAcentral.